Molecule: ribosomal RNA, 382 nt
Filed under: uncultured bacterium
Lineage: Bacteria
Description: bacterial SSU rRNA
Rfam family: Bacterial small subunit ribosomal RNA
Source: RNAcentral
CGGUAAUACGUAGGUGGCAAGCGUUGUCCGGAAUCAUUGGGCGUAAAGAGCGCGUAGGUGGCUUGUCAGGUCUGAUGUGAAAUUUCGGGGCUCAACCCCGAACCUGCAUCGGAAACCGGCUUGCUUGAGUCUGGGAGAGGAGAGUGGAAUUCCUGGUGUAGCGGUGAAAUGCGUAGAUAUCAGGAGGAACACCGGUAGCGAAGGCGGCUCUCUGGAACAGUACUGACGCUGAGGCGCGAAAGCUAGGGGAGCAAACAGGAUUAGAUACCCUGGUAGUCCUAGCCGCAAACGAUGGACACUAAGUGUCGGGGGUGUCGACUCCCCCGGUGCCGAAGCUAACGCAUUAAGUGUCCCGCCUGGGGAGUACGGCCGCAAGGCUAAA